UUUCCGUAGGUGAACCUGCGGAAGGAUCAUUAAUGUAUAACCGAGGUGCGAGGGCUGUCGCUGACCCGAAAGGUCGUGCACGCCCGAGUGCCCUCACACACAUCCCUCUCACCCCUAUGUGCACCACCGCGUGGGUCCCCCUUUGGCUUGUUCGGAGGGGGGCUUACGUUUUCACACAAACUUUGUAUGCAGUGUAGAAUGUAUUUUUUGUUUUUGCGAUCACGCAAUCAAUACAACUUUCAACAACGGAUCUCUUGGCUCUC
This 263-nucleotide unclassified non-coding RNA is filed under the name plant metagenome. Its description in RNAcentral is "partial contains small subunit ribosomal RNA, internal transcribed spacer 1, and 5.8S ribosomal RNA". The record is from RNAcentral.